AAAGGGUGCGUAGGCGGCCAAUUAAGUCAGGGGUGAAAGACGGUAGCUUAACUAUCGCAGUGCCUUUGAUACUGAUUGGCUUGAAUACACUAGAGGUAGGCGGAAUGUGACAAGUAGCGGUGAAAUGCAUAGAUAUGUCACAGAACACCAAUUGCGAAGGCAGCUUACUAUGGUGUGAUUGACGCUGAGGCACGAAAGCGUGGGGAUCAAACAGGAUUAGAUACCCGAGU
RNAcentral lists this ribosomal RNA (230 nucleotides) under uncultured bacterium. RNAcentral's name for it is "partial 16S ribosomal RNA". It matches the Rfam family "Bacterial small subunit ribosomal RNA", at positions 562 to 791 of the family's 1533-position model. The record is from RNAcentral.